AGUGAACGCUGGCGGUAGGCCUAACACAUGCAAGUCGAACGGCAGCACAGUAAGAGCUUGCUCUUACGGGUGGCGAGUGGCGGACGGGUGAGGAAUACAUCGGAAUCUACUUUUUCGUGGGGGAUAACGUAGGGAAACUUACGCUAAUACCGCAUACGACCUACGGGUGAAAGCAGGGGAUCUUCGGACCUUGCGCGAUUGAAUGAGCCGAUGUCGGAUUAGCUAGUUGGCGGGGUAAAGGCCCACCAAGGCGACGAUCCGUAGCUGGUCUGAGAGGAUGAUCAGCCACACUGGAACUGAGACACGGUCCAGACUCCUACGGGAGGCAGCAGUGGGGAAUAUUGGACAAUGGGCGCAAGCCUGAGCCAGCCAGACCACGUGGGUGAAGAAGGCCUUCGGGUUGUAAAGCCGUUUUGUUGGGAAAGAAAAGCAGCAGGUUAAUACCCCGCUGUUCUGACGGGACCAAAAGAAUAAGCACCGGCUAACUUCGUG
RNAcentral lists this ribosomal RNA (492 nucleotides) under uncultured bacterium. RNAcentral describes it as "partial 16S ribosomal RNA". It matches the Rfam family "Bacterial small subunit ribosomal RNA", at positions 29 to 507 of the family's 1533-position model. The record is from RNAcentral.